CCUACGGGAGGCAGCAGUGAGGAAUAUUGGUCAAUGGGCUUACGCCUGAACCAGCCAAGUCGCGUGAGGGAAGACUGCCCUAUGGGUUGUAAACCUCUUUUAUAGGGGAAUAAAGGUAUCCACGUGUGGAUAUUUGCAUGUACCCUAUGAAUAAGCAUCGGCUAACUCCGUGCCAGCAGCCGCGGUAAUACGGAGGAUGCGAGCGUUAUCCGGAUUUAUUGGGUUUAAAGGGUGCGUAGGUUGUUUUUUAAGUCAGCGGUGAAAGUUUGUGGCUCAACCAUAAAAUUGCCGUUGAAACUGGAAGACGUGAGUGUGUUUGAGGUAGGCGGAAUGCGUGGUGUAGCGGUGAAAUGCAUAGAUAUCACGCAGAACUCCGAUUGCGAAGGCAGCUUACUAAGCCAUAACUGACACUGAAGCACGAAAGCGUGGGGAUCAAACAGGAUUAGAUACCCGUGUAGUC
This 460-nucleotide ribosomal RNA is filed under the name uncultured bacterium. Its description in RNAcentral is "partial 16S ribosomal RNA". It matches the Rfam family "Bacterial small subunit ribosomal RNA", at positions 338 to 795 of the family's 1533-position model. The record is from RNAcentral.